UUAGAGUAUGCAAUGACUCAGUCAAAUAUCUGUUAAGAGAAUCAAGGGAGAAGUUGAAGAAAUCAGAUCAGGAUGACAACUGUGCAGCAAACAAAUCACCUCCAGAUUUUUCUCACUCUGUUGUGAUCAAAACAACAGAUUAAUGUUAGCUGUAAAUCCUUUAUUUGUACUCCUUGAUUUUCUAUAAUUGGUUACAUGUAAUACUCUAUAAAUACGUUGAAUAAAA
Molecule: long non-coding RNA, 226 nt
Filed under: Populus trichocarpa (black cottonwood)
Lineage: Eukaryota; Viridiplantae; Streptophyta; Magnoliopsida; Malpighiales; Salicaceae
Description: long non-coding RNA (PTRI_LNC001820)
Source: RNAcentral